AGGUUCAGUCCUCCCAGGCCCACCACUUCGCAAUCCGCAAGGAUUGUCGGAUCUCCUCGAUAUCCGUCGGGAAACACUAUCAGGGGCCGUAGCUCAGCUGGGAGAGCGCCUGCUUUGCAAGCAGGAUGUCGUCGGUUCGAUCCCGUCCGGCUCCACCAACCAUCUUCUGUGAAGGUGGGGCGUGUCGAGUAGAGGAUGAUCGCCCGCGGUCAGUCAUUCGAAAAAGAGUUUGCGGCGCGCUUCGUGCUCUCCGCCUGUUCUGUUUGACAUCGUAAAGAGAAGAUUUGUUCGAACUUCACGGCUGCAAGGCUGUGAUUUGUCGCAAGGACGCUCAAUCCCUUGCCUAUGAUGGGUUUGCCUAACCGCGCCCUCGAACGGAUCUCGAGAAGCUGGUCUUUUUGUGCCAAUUCCAUUGAAGCAAGCCCCGCACAGGGUUUUGCUCAGGCGGCGAUCCUUCGGAUCGCGCAGAUGGGUAUUGGCAAUGAGAACGAUCAAGUGUCUUAAGGGCAAUUGGUGGAUGCCUUGGCAUGCACAGGCGAUGAAGGACGUGAUACGCUGCGAUAAGCUACGGGGAGGUGCGAAUACCCUUUGAUCCGUAGAUCUCCGAUGGG
RNAcentral lists this unclassified non-coding RNA (611 nucleotides) under Mesorhizobium sp. LCM 3719. RNAcentral's name for it is "partial 16S-23S ribosomal RNA intergenic spacer". The stretch from base 490 to 611 matches the Rfam family "Bacterial large subunit ribosomal RNA", at positions 1 to 122 of the family's 2925-position model. Lineage: Bacteria; Pseudomonadati; Pseudomonadota; Alphaproteobacteria; Hyphomicrobiales; Phyllobacteriaceae. The record is from RNAcentral.